UACGUAGGGAGCGAGCGUUAUCCGGAUUUAUUGGGUGUAAAGGGUGCGUAGGCGGCCUAUUAAGUCUAUGGUUUAAGUCCGAAGCUUAACUUCGGUUCGCCAUAGAAACUGGUAGGCUUGAGUAUGGUAGAGGCAAGUGGAAUUUCUAGUGUAGCGGUAAAAUGCGUAGAUAUUAGAAGGAACACCAGUGGCGAAGGCGACUUGCUGGGCCAUCACUGACGCUGAGGCACGAAAGCGUGGGGAGCAAAUAG
This 251-nucleotide ribosomal RNA is filed under the name uncultured bacterium. RNAcentral's name for it is "partial 16S ribosomal RNA". It matches the Rfam family "Bacterial small subunit ribosomal RNA", at positions 524 to 775 of the family's 1533-position model. The record is from RNAcentral.